Molecule: ribosomal RNA, 517 nt
Filed under: Lerista speciosa
Lineage: Eukaryota; Metazoa; Chordata; Lepidosauria; Squamata; Scincidae
Description: partial 16S ribosomal RNA
Rfam family: Bacterial large subunit ribosomal RNA
Source: RNAcentral
CCUUUAGCAACAUAAGUAUUAAAGGUCCUGCCUGCCCAGUGAAAAAUUUUUAACGGCCGCGGUAUUCUAACCGUGCAAAGGUAGCGUAAUCACUUGUCUUUUAAAUAAAGACCAGUAUGAAUGGCUAAAUGAGGACAAAUCUGUCUCCUGCAGUUAAUCAGUGAAACUGAUCUCCCAGUCCAAAAGCUGGAAUAUUAACAUUAGACGAGAAGACCCUGUGGAGCUUAAAACAAAUUCAGUAACAAAAAUUCACUAGAAUGAGUUUUAAGUUGGGGCGACUUCGGAACAAAACAAAACUUCCGAGCACAGAACCACUAAUUCUUACCAAGGCAAACAAGCCAAAGAAAACCAACCGACCCAGUCACACUGAUCAACGAACCAAGUUACCCCAGGGAUAACAGCGCCAUCCUCUUCAAGAGUCCAUAUCGACAAGAGGGUUUACGACCUCGAUGUUGGAUCAGGGCACCCCAAUGGUGCAACCGCUAUUAAAGGUUCGUUUGUUCAACGAUUAACAGCC